GAUGAAGAACGUAGCGAAAUGCGAUAAGUAAUGUGAAUUGCAGAAUUCAGUGAAUCAUCGAAUCUUUGAACGCACAUUGCGCCCCCUGGCAUUCCGGGGGGCACGCCUGUCCGAGCGCCAUUUCAACCCUCAAGCCCCGCUUGGUGAUGGGACCCGCCUGCGGGCGGUCCCGAAACUCGUGGGCGCCGAAGGCCGGCUCCGAGCGUAGCAAAACCCUCGCUCAGGAACCCCGGUCGGCGGUCGCCCCGGACCCCAAACAUUAUCACAAGGUUGGCCUCGGAUCAGGAGGGGAUACCCGCUGAACUUAAGCAUAUCAAUAAGCCGGAGGA
This 329-nucleotide unclassified non-coding RNA is filed under the name soil metagenome. RNAcentral describes it as "partial contains 5.8S ribosomal RNA, internal transcribed spacer 2, and large subunit ribosomal RNA". The stretch from base 1 to 120 matches the Rfam family "5.8S ribosomal RNA", at positions 35 to 154 of the family's 154-position model. The record is from RNAcentral.